This is a non-coding RNA of Lodderomyces parapsilosis, 81 nucleotides long. Lineage: Eukaryota; Fungi; Ascomycota; Pichiomycetes; Serinales; Debaryomycetaceae. The record is from the annotation of a RefSeq genome assembly.
GUAGCCGUGGCCGAGCGGUUAAGGCGCCAGGGUAAGGUCCUGGUAUCUUCGGAUGCGCGAGUUCAAAUCUCGUCGGCUACA